GCUCUGGUAGCUUAGUGGGUAAAGCAAUUGACUGCUAACCAAAAAGUCGGUGGUUCGAAACCACCAGGGGCU
This 72-nucleotide transfer RNA is filed under the name Loxodonta africana (African savanna elephant). It matches the Rfam family "tRNA". From Rfam's summary of the family: Transfer RNA (tRNA) molecules are approximately 80 nucleotides in length. Their secondary structure includes four short double-helical elements and three loops (D, anti-codon, and T loops). The record is from Rfam by way of RNAcentral. Lineage: Eukaryota; Metazoa; Chordata; Mammalia; Proboscidea; Elephantidae.